RNAcentral lists this ribosomal RNA (460 nucleotides) under uncultured bacterium. RNAcentral describes it as "partial 16S ribosomal RNA". It matches the Rfam family "Bacterial small subunit ribosomal RNA", at positions 338 to 795 of the family's 1533-position model. The record is from RNAcentral.
CCUACGGGCGACUGCAGUGAGGAAUAUUGGUCAAUGGGCGAGAGUCUGAACCAGCCAAGCCGCGUGCAGGAUGACGGCUCUAUGGUUUUUAAACUUCUUUUAUAUGGGAAUAAAGUGAGUAACGUGUUCCUUUUUGUAUGUACCAUAUGAAUAAGGAUCGGCUAACUCCGUGCCCGCCGCCGCGGUAAUACGGAGGAUGCGAGCGUUAUCCGGAUUUAUUGGGUUUAAAGGGUGCGUAGGUGGUUAGUUAAGUCAGUGGUGAAAGUUAGUGGCUCAACGAUGAAAUUGCCGUUGAUACUGGUAGACUUGAGUGUAGUUGAGGUAAGCGGAAUGCGUGGUGUAGCGGUGAAAUGCAUAGAUAUCAGGCAGAACACCGAUUGCGAAGGCAGCUUACUAAACUAUAACUGACGCUGAGGCACGAAAGCGUGGGGAGCAAACAGGAUUAGAUACCCGUGUAGUC